UACACUCCUGCGGGAGGCAGCAGUGGGGAAUUUUGGACAAUGGGCGAAAGCCUGAUCCAGCCAUGCCGCGUGCAGGAUGAAGGCCUUCGGGUUGUAAACUGCUUUUGUACGGAACGAAACGGCCUUUUCUAAUAAAGAGGGCUAAUGACGGUACCGUAAGAAUAAGCACCGGCUAACUACGUGCCAGCAGCCGCGGUAAUACGUAGGGUGCAAGCGUUAAUCGGAAUUACUGGGCGUAAAGCGUGCGCAGGCGGUUAUGUAAGACAGUUGUGAAAUCCCCGGGCUCAACCUGGGAACUGCAUCUGUGACUGCAUAGCUAGAGUACGGUAGAGGGGGAUGGAAUUCCGCGUGUAGCAGUGAAAUGCGUAGAUAUGCGGAGGAACACCGAUGGCGAAGGCAAUCCCCUGGACCUGUACUGACGCUCAUGCACGAAAGCGUGGGGAGCAAACAGGAUUAGAUACCCCUGUAGUCCCAUG
This 476-nucleotide ribosomal RNA is filed under the name uncultured organism. RNAcentral describes it as "partial 16S ribosomal RNA". It matches the Rfam family "Bacterial small subunit ribosomal RNA", at positions 332 to 799 of the family's 1533-position model. The record is from RNAcentral.